Molecule: ribosomal RNA, 253 nt
Filed under: uncultured bacterium
Lineage: Bacteria
Description: partial 16S ribosomal RNA
Rfam family: Bacterial small subunit ribosomal RNA
Source: RNAcentral
GACAGAGGUGCCGAGCGUUAGGCGGAAUCACUGGGCUUAAAGCGUGUGUAGGCGGGUCGUUAAGUGUCUUGUGAAAUCCCACCGCUCAACGGUGGAACCGCUGGGCAUACUGGCGAUCUUGAGCAGUCCAGGGGCGAGCGGAACAAGCGGUGGAGCGGUGAAAUGCGUAGAUAUCGCGUGGAACGCCGACGGUGAAAACAGCUCGCUGGGGACUCGCUGACGCUGAGACACGAAAGCCAGGGGAGCGAACGGG